AUUGAACGCUGGCGGAAUGCUUUACACAUGCAAGUCGAGCGGCAGCGCGGGGCAACCUGGCGGCGAGCGGCGAACGGGUGAGUAAUGCAUCAGAACGUACCCAGUCGUGGGGGAUAACUGUCCGAAAGGACAGCUAAUACCGCAUACGUCCUGAGGGAGAAAGCGGGGGAUCGCAAGACCUCGCGCGAUUGGAGCGGCCGAUGCCGGAUUAGCUAGUUGGUAGGGUAAAGGCCUACCAAGGCGACGAUCCGUAGCUGGUCUGAGAGGACGACCAGCCACACUGGAACUGAGACACGGUCCAGACUCCUACGGGAGGCAGCAGUGGGGAAUUUUGGACAAUGGGGGCAACCCUGAUCCAGCCAUUCCGCGUGAGUGAAGAA
RNAcentral lists this ribosomal RNA (380 nucleotides) under uncultured bacterium. RNAcentral's name for it is "bacterial SSU rRNA". It matches the Rfam family "Bacterial small subunit ribosomal RNA", at positions 29 to 412 of the family's 1533-position model. The record is from RNAcentral.